Molecule: ribosomal RNA, 468 nt
Filed under: uncultured bacterium
Lineage: Bacteria
Description: partial 16S ribosomal RNA
Rfam family: Bacterial small subunit ribosomal RNA
Source: RNAcentral
GACGAACGCUGGCGGCGUGCUUAACACAUGCAAGUCGAACGGAAAGGCCCUGCUUUUGUGGGGUGCUCGAGUGGCGAACGGGUGAGUAACACGUGAGUAACCUGCCCUUGACUUUGGGAUAACUUCAGGAAACUGGGGCUAAUACCGGGUAGGAGCUCCUGCCGCAUGGUGGGGGUUGGAAAGGUUCGGCGGUUGGGGAUGGACUCGCGGCUUAUCAGCUUGUUGGUGGGGUAGUGGCUUACCAAGGCUUUGACGGGUAGCCGGCCUGAGAGGGUGACCGGCCACAUUGGGACUGAGAUACGGCCCAGACUCCUACGGGAGGCAGCAGUGGGGAAUAUUGCACAAUGGGCGGAAGCCUGAUGCAGCAACGCCGCGUGCGGGAUGACGGCCUUCGGGUUGUAAACCGCUUUCGCCUGUGACGAAGCGUGAGUGACGGUAAUGGGUAAAGAAGCACCGGCUAACUACGUG